AUUGAAAACAUGUAGCAGGCCCUGUUUACUUGGCUAUUUGCACAAGGGAGGUCUAGUAACUCUGUAGGAAAUAAUGAGCAUAAGUUGGCAUAUGUUGCUGAAGACGAAUUAAUUGGACUAACUACCAGCGGCUAUGCUGUUGCCGCUCCAGCGAAUAAGGCUUUCAAUGCAAGUAUCGGUGGUAAAAGAGGUAGAGUGAAGUAGACAAAACUUGGUGUACGUGGCUGGAGAAGGCGGACUCGUAGGAGAAGCGCCUGGAAGGCAUUAUUACGUCGGGCCGAAAUCCAGUAGGGUUGAUAAGACUAAUUUAAGAAACGAAAGAAAGAAACAAAGAAAGGGAAAAUAUCCGGUGUUGGCAAAACUUUAUAUUCAAAACUGUUGCGAAAGAAUUUAACAGUCAUUUUCUCUAAUGCGAUAUAUGUAUGUAUGUGAUAUAAUGAAAGGUAAAUUUAAUAUAUGCGAUAUGUGAGAAAAACAUCAA
Bactrocera oleae (olive fruit fly) is the source of this 481-nucleotide non-coding RNA. The record is from RefSeq and is a predicted model, not a curated record. Lineage: Eukaryota; Metazoa; Arthropoda; Insecta; Diptera; Tephritidae.